GAGGGUAUAGCUCAAGUGGUAGAGUGCAUGCUUAGCAUGCACAAGGCCCUGGGUUCAAUCCCCACUACCGCCU
Camelus ferus (Wild Bactrian camel) is the source of this 73-nucleotide transfer RNA. It matches the Rfam family "tRNA". From Rfam's summary of the family: Transfer RNA (tRNA) molecules are approximately 80 nucleotides in length. NCBI's taxonomy places the organism in Eukaryota, Metazoa, Chordata, Mammalia, Artiodactyla, Camelidae. The record is from Rfam.